Molecule: ribosomal RNA, 250 nt
Filed under: uncultured bacterium
Lineage: Bacteria
Description: partial 16S ribosomal RNA
Rfam family: Bacterial small subunit ribosomal RNA
Source: RNAcentral
UACGGAGGAUCCAAGCGUUAUCCGGAUUUAUUGGGUUUAAAGGGUGCGUAGGCGGAUUAUUAAGUCAGUGGUGAAAGCCUGCAGCUUAACUGCAGAACUGCCAUUGAUACUGAUGAUCUUGAGUACAGUUGAGGUGGGCGGAAUGUGUCAUGUAGCGGUGAAAUGCUUAGAUAUGACACAGAACACCGAUUGCGAAGGCAGCUCGCUAAACUGUAACUGACGCUGAGGCACGAAAGCGUGGGGAUCAAAC